RNAcentral lists this ribosomal RNA (460 nucleotides) under uncultured bacterium. RNAcentral's name for it is "partial 16S ribosomal RNA". It matches the Rfam family "Bacterial small subunit ribosomal RNA", at positions 338 to 795 of the family's 1533-position model. The record is from RNAcentral.
CCUACGGGAGGCAGCAGUGAGGAAUAUUGGUCAAUGGGGGCAACCCUGAACCAGCCAAGUAGCGUGCAGGAUGACGGCCCUCUGGGUUGUAAACUUCUUUUAUGCGGGGAUAAACUGAGGCACGUGUGGCUUUUUGCAUGUACCUCAUGAAUAAGGACCGGCUAAUUCCGUGCCAGCAGCCGCGGUAAUACGGAGGGUCCGGGCGUUAUCCGGAUUUAUUGGGUUUAAAGGGAGCGUAGUCGGGUUGUUAAGUCAGUUGUGAAAGGCUGCGGCUCAACCGUAGAACUGCAGUUGAAACUGGCAGGCUUGAGUACAGUGGAGGUAGGCGGAAUUCGUGGUGUAGCGGUGAAAUGCGUAGAGAUCACGAAGAACACCGAUUGCGAAGGCAGCCUACUGAACUGUCACUGACGCUGAGGCUCGAAAGUGUGGGUAUCAAACAGGAUUAGAUACCCGAGUAGUC